Molecule: transfer RNA, 72 nt
Filed under: Candidatus Pacearchaeota archaeon
Lineage: Archaea; Nanobdellati
Description: tRNA-Arg
Rfam family: tRNA
About the family: Transfer RNA (tRNA) molecules are approximately 80 nucleotides in length. Their secondary structure includes four short double-helical elements and three loops (D, anti-codon, and T loops). Further hydrogen bonds mediate the characteristic L-shaped molecular structure. tRNAs have two regions of fundamental functional importance: the anti-codon, which is responsible for specific mRNA codon recognition, and the 3' end, to which the tRNAs corresponding amino acid is attached (by aminoacyl-tRNA synthetases). tRNAs cope with the degeneracy of the genetic code in two manners: having more than one tRNA (with a specific anti-codon) for a particular amino acid; and 'wobble' base-pairing, i.e. permitting non-standard base-pairing at the 3rd anti-codon position.
Source: RNAcentral
GAGCCUGUAGUUCAAUGGAUAGAACACUUGGUUUCGGCCCAGGUGAUCGGGGUUCAAUUCCUCGCAGGCUCG